This 143-nucleotide small RNA is filed under the name Flavobacterium aquatile LMG 4008 = ATCC 11947. RNAcentral describes it as "Flavobacterium aquatile LMG 4008 Flavo-1 RNA". It matches the Rfam family "Flavo-1 RNA". Lineage: Bacteria; Pseudomonadati; Bacteroidota; Flavobacteriia; Flavobacteriales; Flavobacteriaceae. The record is from Rfam by way of RNAcentral.
GUUUAGCCCUGAUAGUAAUGGAAAGCUUUGUGAAGGAAAAAACUAUUUUUUCUUGACAAAAAACUGCGACCAAAGAAGCAUGUUUUUUGGCUUAGAAAAAAAGUUUUUUACAAGCAAACUUGCAAUGGAUAGCAGGAAAUAGC